RNAcentral lists this ribosomal RNA (384 nucleotides) under uncultured prokaryote. Its description in RNAcentral is "bacterial SSU rRNA". It matches the Rfam family "Archaeal small subunit ribosomal RNA", at positions 341 to 725 of the family's 1478-position model. The record is from RNAcentral.
GCGAAAACUUUACAAUGCUGGCAACAGCGAUAAGGGAACCUCGAGUGCCAGGUUACAAAUCUGGCUGUCGAGAUGCCUAAAAAGCAUUUCAUAGCAAGGGCCGGGCAAGACCGGUGCCAGCCGCCGCGGUAACACCGGCGGCUCGAGUGGUAACCGUUAUUAUUGGGUCUAAAGGGUCUGUAGCCGGCCGGAUAAGUCUCUUGAGAAAUCUGGCAGCUUAACUGUCAGGCUUUCAGGAGAUACUGUUCGGCUCGAGGCCGGGAGAGGUGAGAGGUACUUCAGGGGUAGGGGUGAAAUCUUGUAAUCCUUGAAGGACCACCAGUGGCGAAGGCGUCUCACCAGAACGGACCUGACGGCAAGGGACGGAAGCUAGGGGCACGAACC